Molecule: long non-coding RNA, 424 nt
Filed under: Erythranthe guttata (spotted monkey flower)
Lineage: Eukaryota; Viridiplantae; Streptophyta; Magnoliopsida; Lamiales; Phrymaceae
Description: long non-coding RNA (EGUT_LNC003186)
Source: RNAcentral
GGGGUGGUUGUUGUAUUAAACAGAUUUUUCGGAGAUGGUUUUAGCAGGAAUUUUGAGCAUAGGAGACUAAAUAAUUCGAGUCACAAGCAGUUGUGAGCGAGCGUAGGCAAUAGCGCUUAGUUGUAUCUUGUUACGGUGCCUCUGUUUAUUUGCCAACUUGUCAGAUGAGAAUUGGGAUUAUCGGACUCUAUUUAUCUGUAUUAUUCGAUCAAGUUUUUGAUUAAUAAUAAAACGCUUUCUGGGAAGAUUUGAAGUGGUUUUUUCUGUCGAUUAUUAAUUGGAAAUGUGUUCGAUAAUUUUGUUCUCUAUGUUAAUUCUUGCUAUAAGCCUAUAAGUAGGAGCAAUAGUACUAAUUACUAAUUUUUUUUUUUAUUCUGACAACGAUUGAUGAAUCGUCUAUGAGAUGCUACACAUGGUAUAACAC